This 722-nucleotide ribosomal RNA is filed under the name uncultured bacterium. RNAcentral describes it as "bacterial SSU rRNA". It matches the Rfam family "Bacterial small subunit ribosomal RNA", at positions 65 to 766 of the family's 1533-position model. The record is from RNAcentral.
AGCGAUGUAGAAGUGGCAACACUUUUACAAGCAAGUGCCGAACGGGUGAGUAACGCGUAGGUAAUCUGCCUUGGAGAUUGGGACAACCAUUCGAAAGAAUGGCUAAUACCAAAUACCUUAUAUUAAUCGCAUGAUUUUUAUAAUAAAGGGGGCUUUUAGCUCUCGCUUCAAGAUGAACCUGCGUCCUAUUAGCUUGUUGGUGAGGUAGAAGCUCACCAAGGCAACGAUGGGUAGCCGGCCUGAGAGGGUGAUCGGCCACACUGGGACUGAGAUACGGCCCAGACUCCUACGGGAGGCAGCAGUAGGGAAUCUUGCGCAAUGGGCGAAAGCCUGACGCAGCGACACCGUGUGAAGGAUGAAGGUCUUCGGAUCGUAAACUUCUGUCAAUUGGGGACGAAGGUAGUAGGGUUAAUACCCCGAAUAACUGACGGUACCCAAUAAGGAAGUCUCGGCUAACUCCGUGCCAGCAGCCGCGGUAAGACGGAGGAGGCAAGCGUUGUCCGGAAUCAUUGGGCGUAAAGAGCGCGUAGGCUGUUUUUUAAGUCAUAUGUGAAAACCUCAGGCUUAACUUGAGGACUGCAUGUGAAACUGGAAAACUUGAGUGCAGUAGGGGAAAGUGGAAUUCCUGGUGUAGCGGNGAAAUGCGCAGAUAUCAGGAAGAACACCGGUAGCGAAGGCGGCUUUCUGGGCUGCUACUGACGCUGAGGCGCGAAAGCUAGGGG